GAUGAACGCUGGCGGCGUGCUUAAUACAUGCAAGUCGAGCGAACGGACGAGAAGCUUGCUUCUCUGAUGUUAGCGGCGGACGUGUGAGUAACACGUGGUUAACUUACCUAUAAGACUGGGAUAACUUCGGGAAACCGGAGCUAAUACCGGCUAAUAUUUUGAACCGCAUGGUUCAAAAGUGAAAGACGGUCUUGAUGUCCCUUAUAGAUAGAUCCGCGCUGCAUUAGCUAGUUGGUAAGGUAACGGCUUACCAAGGCAACGAUGCAUAGCCGACCUGAGAGGGUGAUCGGCCACACGGGAGCGAAGACACGCUCCAGACUCCGAAGGGAGGCAGCAGUAGGGAAUCUUCCGCAAGGGGCAGAGGCCUAACGGAGCAACGCGGCGGAAGUGUUGAAGGGCGUCGGAGCGUAAAACUUUGUUACUAGGGAGGAACAUAUGUGUAAGUAACUGUGCACAUCUGGACGGUACCGAAUCAGAAAGCCACGGCUAACUACGUG
Molecule: ribosomal RNA, 497 nt
Filed under: uncultured bacterium
Lineage: Bacteria
Description: partial 16S ribosomal RNA
Rfam family: Bacterial small subunit ribosomal RNA
Source: RNAcentral